This 492-nucleotide ribosomal RNA is filed under the name uncultured bacterium. Its description in RNAcentral is "partial 16S ribosomal RNA". It matches the Rfam family "Bacterial small subunit ribosomal RNA", at positions 29 to 507 of the family's 1533-position model. The record is from RNAcentral.
AGUGAACGCUGGCGGUAGGCCUAACACAUGCAAGUCGAACGGCAGCACAGUAAGAGCUUGCUCUUACGGGUGGCGAGUGGCGGACGGGUGAGGAAUACAUCGGAAUCUACUUUUUCGUGGGGGAUAACGUAGGGAAACUUACGCUAAUACCGCAUACGACCUACGGGUGAAAGCAGGGGAUCUUCGGACCUUGCGUGAUUGAAUGAGCCGAUGUCGGAUUAGCUAGUUGGCGGGGUAAAGGCCCACCAAGGCGACGAUCCGUAGCUGGUCUGAGAGGAUGAUCAGCCACGCUGGAACUGAGACACGGUCCAGACUCCUACGGGAGGCAGCAGUGGGGAAUAUUGGACAAUGGGCGCAAGCCUGAUCCAGCCAUACCGCGUGGGUGAAGAAGGCCUUCGGGUUGUAAAGCCCUUUUGUUGGGAAAGAAAAGCAGCAGGUUAAUACCCCGCUGUUCUGACGGUACCCAAAGAAUAGGCACCGGCUAACUUCGUG